GAGUAACACGUAAGUAAUCUACCUUCGGAUGGGGAAUAACAGUCGGAAACGACUGCUAAUACCGCAUAAUGCGGCGGCAUCAUAAGAUGACAGUUGUUAAAGUAUUUAUACGUCUGGAGAGGAGCUUGCGGCAGAUUAGCUAAUUGGUAAGGUAACGGCUUACCAAGGCUACGAUCUGUAUCCGACCUGAGAGGGUGGUCGGACACACUGACACUGAAUAACGGGUCAGACUCCUACGGGAGGCAGCAGUCGGGAAUUUUGGGCAAUGGGCGAAAGCCUGACCCAGCAACGCCGCGUGAAGGAUGAAGUCUUUCGGGAUGUAAACUUCGUAAGAAUAGGAAGAAUAAAUGACGGUACUAUUUGUAAGGUCCGGCUAACUACGUGCCAGCAGCCGCGGUAAUACGUAGGGACCAAGCGUUGUUCGGAUUUACUGGGCGUAAAGGGCGCGUAGGCGGCAAUUCAAGUCAUCUGUGAAAUCUCCGGGCUUAACUCGGAACGGUCAGAUGAUACCGCUUUGCUAGAGUACAGAAGGGGCAAUCGGAAUUCUUGGUGUAGCGGUGAAAUGCGUAGAUAUCAAGAGGAACACCUGAGGUGAAGACGGGUUGCUGGGCUGAUACUGACGCUGAGGCGCGAAAGCUAGGGUAGCAAACGGGAUUAGAUACCCCGGUAGUCCUAGCCCUAAACGAUGAAUACUUGGUGUCUGGAGUUUUAAUUCUCCGGGUGCCGUCGCUAACGUUUUUAGUAUUCCGCCUGGGGAGUACGCACGCAAGUGUGAAACUCAAAGGAAUUGACGGGGACCCGCACAAGCGGUGGAGCAUGUGGUUUAAUUCGACGCAACGCGAAGAACCUUACCUGAACUAGAAUGCGAGGGAAGACUACCUAAUAGUAGUCGUCGGGCAACCGACCCAAAGCAAGGUGCUGCAUGGCUGUC
RNAcentral lists this ribosomal RNA (931 nucleotides) under uncultured bacterium. RNAcentral describes it as "bacterial SSU rRNA". It matches the Rfam family "Bacterial small subunit ribosomal RNA", at positions 108 to 1053 of the family's 1533-position model. The record is from RNAcentral.